RNAcentral lists this microRNA precursor (79 nucleotides) under Oncorhynchus mykiss (rainbow trout). RNAcentral describes it as "mir-460 microRNA precursor family". It matches the Rfam family "mir-460 microRNA precursor family". Lineage: Eukaryota; Metazoa; Chordata; Actinopteri; Salmoniformes; Salmonidae. RNAcentral also lists the same sequence under 5 other names. The record is from Rfam by way of RNAcentral.
UUUCCCUGCGUCCUCAUUGUGCAUGCUGUGUGUGUUUCUUAUGGGUCCACACAGCGCCUGCAAUGUGGAGGCCGAGAUG